Molecule: small nuclear RNA, 170 nt
Filed under: Dasypus novemcinctus (nine-banded armadillo)
Lineage: Eukaryota; Metazoa; Chordata; Mammalia; Cingulata; Dasypodidae
Description: U1 spliceosomal RNA (ENSDNOG00000028859.1)
Rfam family: U1 spliceosomal RNA
About the family: U1 is a small nuclear RNA (snRNA) component of the spliceosome (involved in pre-mRNA splicing).
Source: RNAcentral
GUAUUUAAAGUGCUGAAAGUGGAAAGUGCCAACCAAGAAUUCUAUAUCUUUCCCAGGGUGAGGCUUAUCCAUUGCACUCCGGAUGUGCUGACCCCUGCGAUUUCCCCAAAUGUAGGAAACUCGACUGCGUAAUUUGUGGUAGUGUGGGACUGCGUUCAUGCUCUCCCCUG